This 757-nucleotide ribosomal RNA is filed under the name uncultured Pelagibacterales bacterium. Its description in RNAcentral is "SSU rRNA". It matches the Rfam family "Bacterial small subunit ribosomal RNA", at positions 72 to 873 of the family's 1533-position model. Lineage: Bacteria; Pseudomonadati; Pseudomonadota; Alphaproteobacteria; Candidatus Pelagibacterales. The record is from RNAcentral.
GAAGUAGCAAUACUUAGUGGCGAACGGGUGAGUAUAAUGUGGGUAUCUGCCCUUUGGUUUGGAAUAACACGAGGAAACUUGUGCUAAUACCGGAUAAGCCUUCACAGGGAAAGCUUUAGCGCCAAAGGAUGAGCCCGCACUUGAUUAGCUAGUUGGUAAGGUAAUGGCUUACCAAGGCUACGAUCAAUAGCUGAUCUGAGAGGAUGAUCAGCCACAUUGGGACUGAGACACGGCCCAAACUUNUACGGAAGGCAGCAGUGGGGAGUCUUGCACAAUGGGGGAAACCCUGAUGCAGCGAUGCCGCGUGAGUGAAGAAGGCCCUUGGGUUGUAAAGCUCUUUCGUCGGGGAAGAAAAUGACUGUACCCGAAUAAGAAGGUCCGGCUAACUUCGUGCCAGCAGCCGCGGUAAUACGAAGGGACCUAGCGUAGUUCGGAAUUACUGGGCUUAAAGAGCACGUAGGUGGUUAAGAAAGUUGGUGGUGAAAUCCCAAGGCUUAACCUUGGAACUGCCACCAAAACUUUUUAACUAGAGUAUGAUUGAGGUAAGCGGAAUUUCUAGUGUAGAGGUGAAAUUCGUAGAUAUUAGAAAGAACACCAAUUGCGAAGGCAGCUUUCUGGAUCAUUACUGACACUGAGGUGCGAAAGCAUGGGUAGCGAAGAGGAUUAGAUACCCUCGUAGUCCAUGCCGUAAACGAUGUGUGCUAGACGUUGGGAAUUUAUUUUUCAGUGUCGCAGCAAAAGCGUUAAGCACACCGCC